UCCAGGUGUGGUGGCUCACGCCUGUAAUCCCAGCACUUUGGGAGGAUGAGGUGGGUGGAUCACCUGAGGUCAGGAGUUUGAGAGCAGCCUGACCAAUAUGGUGAAACCCCAUCUCUA
Molecule: non-coding RNA, 117 nt
Filed under: Chlorocebus sabaeus (green monkey)
Lineage: Eukaryota; Metazoa; Chordata; Mammalia; Primates; Cercopithecidae
Source: Rfam by way of RNAcentral